GAUGAACGCUGGCGGCGUGCCUAAUACAUGCAAGUCGAGCGAACAGACGAGGAGCUUGCUCCUCUGACGUUAGCGGCGGACGGGUGAGUAACACGUGGAUAACCUACCUAUAAGACUGGGAUAACUUCGGGAAACCGGAGCUAAUACCGGAUAAUAUAUUGAACCGCAUGGUUCAAUAGUGAAAGACGGUUUUGUCGUCACUUAUAGAUGGAUCCGCGCCGCAUUAGCUUGUUGGUAGGGUAACGGCUUACCAAGGCAACGACGCGUAGCCGGCCUGAGAGGGUGACCGGCCACAUUGGGACUGGGAUACGGCCCAGACUCCUCCGGGAGGCAGCAGUGGGGAAUAUUGCACAAUGGGCGGAAGACUGAUGCAGCAACGCCGCGUGCGGGAUGACGGCCUUCGGGUUGUAAACCGCUUUCGCCUGUGACGAAGCGUGAGUGACGGUAAUGGGUAAAGAAGCACCGGCUCACUACGUG
Molecule: ribosomal RNA, 477 nt
Filed under: uncultured bacterium
Lineage: Bacteria
Description: partial 16S ribosomal RNA
Rfam family: Bacterial small subunit ribosomal RNA
Source: RNAcentral